UUUCCGUAGGUGAACCUGCGGAAGGAUCAUUAAAGAGUAAGGGACUUUCUGAACCGCUCUCCACCUCCUUCUUUAACUACUACGUUGUUUCGCCCGGCCCGCCUCCCGACCGUCGGCAGUCCUCGGCCUUCUCGCCCGUGCCCGCCAAUAGUCCUGUAUAUACUCUGGAACAACUCAGAUGACCGAGACAUUAAUUUACUAGUCACAACUUUCAACAACCGAUCUCUUGGUUCUGGCAUCGAAGAAGCACGCAGCAGAACGGCAGAGCACACGCCUGAA
Molecule: unclassified non-coding RNA, 279 nt
Filed under: plant metagenome
Description: partial contains small subunit ribosomal RNA, internal transcribed spacer 1, and 5.8S ribosomal RNA
Source: RNAcentral